RNAcentral lists this ribosomal RNA (470 nucleotides) under uncultured bacterium. Its description in RNAcentral is "bacterial SSU rRNA". It matches the Rfam family "Bacterial small subunit ribosomal RNA", at positions 335 to 797 of the family's 1533-position model. The record is from RNAcentral.
ACUCCUACGGGAGGCAGCAGUAGGGAAUCUUCCGCAAUGGGCGAAAGCCUGACGGAGCAACGCCGCGUGAGUGAAGAAGGAUUUCGGUUCGUAAAGCUCUGUUGUUAGGGAAGAAUGAUUAUGUAGUAACUAUACAUAGUAGAGACGGUACCUAACCAGAAAGCCACGGCUAACUACGUGCCAGCAGCCGCGGUAAUACGUAGGUGGCAAGCGUUGUCCGGAAUUAUUGGGCGUAAAGCGCGCGCAGGUGGUUUAAUAAGUCUGAUGUGAAAGCCCACGGCUCAACCGUGGAGGGUCAUUGGAAACUGUUAAACUUGAGUGCAGGAGAGAAAAGUGGAAUUCCUAGUGUAGCGGUGAAAUGCGUAGAGAUUAGGAGGAACACCAGUGGCGAAGGCGGCUUUUUGGCCUGUAACUGACACUGAGGCGCGAAAGCGUGGGGAGCAAACAGGAUUAGAUACCCUGGUAGGCGU